This 2637-nucleotide ribosomal RNA is filed under the name Triticum aestivum (bread wheat). RNAcentral's name for it is "partial small subunit ribosomal RNA". Lineage: Eukaryota; Viridiplantae; Streptophyta; Magnoliopsida; Poales; Poaceae. The record is from RNAcentral.
UUUUUUGGGGUGGUGUGUGGUGAGGAGAGAGAGGGGCGUGGGGGAGCAGGUUUGUGGUUUGGGAUCGGAGGCGUGCGGUGGUGGGUGGGUGGCGGAGCAGGAAGGGUGUCGAGCGGCGGCUGCUGGAGAGGAGAGGGUAGACGAAGGGAGGGUAUCGUGCGCCUUGCGCGGCGGCAGAGGAGGGACUAGGUUGCGCGGCGGCAGAGGAGGGGCUAGUUCUAGCUUGUGUAGCGGCAGAGGAGGGGCUAGGUUGCGCAGCCGCAGAGGAGGGAUUAGAUCUAGGUUGUGCGGCGGCGGAGGAGGGGUUAGGGGACUAGCUAUACGACCGAGAGAGUGGAACGGCCGUCCAGGGAGGCGGUGGGGAGGAGGGGGACAGGGCUGGGGGACGCGGUGUACAGCCUCGAGCCUAGCACGUGACGACAAGCAACCGCCCGACUCCGCCCGCAGGCCCGCACGCGGUACCUGCACCUGUCGUAACUCACGGAGAACGACGGGUUGCGGCUGUACCUACGCCUGCUACAGCUGGAGCGGGAGGUGGGCGUGCCGCCCUAGGAGCAGCGGCGGCGGCGGAGGGUGGGCCGGCGGAUGGGGUUCCGGCGGUAGCCGCGCCAACCGUAGCAGCGCGGCGCCUCAUCGCACGUGCUCGAAGAGCUCACGGGGCAGACGUGGUUGAGGUACAUGGGCGACUAGGUGGUCCAAAUAACUAAAACGGGCGGGGGAAGAACUAAGACCGCGCUGCACGACACACAGCCCACACGAACCUCGGAACCUGAACCAGACGAAGCCCUGGCCCCGGCUAAGAACCCAAGUUUACCCCUAGACCCAAACCCUUUAGCUAUCAAAGGUUAACGUAUCGAUCACAGCUUAAAAACCCCCUAUAACCACAUCACUUAACAGACAGUAAAGUGUAUACGACCCUAAAACCAGUGCACGAGACGGCAUUAGUUUGCUUUUAUCGUAUACAUAAGGAACAUAGUAACAAGAACAAGUAACCCUAAAACCCACUAGGAAAGGACGGUACAUCUCCUAAUUCUUUUCCAAUAUUAAAUCCUAUAACGUUUGUUCGUACGAUAAUCUGUCAAAGAUGGACCAUUUUUAACCCCAUGUUAGGACUUGUCUUUAACCACACUAUACUAAUUAUUUAACUCCCUAAACCCGUUAGAGUUUGGAGUAAUAUAAACAAAAGACGAGGGUAGAAUAAAAGACAUAAACUAAACUAACACCUAUACACUAGUCGGGAAUACCUCCUAUAUUCCACCUCAUGUCCAGUUCACUAGUCGGGAACACCUCGAUCUACCUGCUUCGUCGACUAAACAAUCGCGUAGUAGUUUACAACAGAAACAUAAAGAAGAACGAGGUACUUAAUGGGUAGUUAUACCACGUAUCUAUCUUUAAAGAGUAUCUAGGACCAAAGUACGAACGUGGAAACCAGGCGUACCAAAAACACCCCUAUACCAUGGCCUGAUCUCGCAUCUCCGACUACUAAAGAACUACGUAUGUCUAACACCUACGGUACAGACUUUGACAAGUUAAAACCUACUGAGUUUGGCCGAGAUCGAUCGUUAGAGAGAGAGGAAGAGCCACAUACACGCGCGGACACGUAGGUAACGUACAUUUUAGUGCAAAAGUUUGAGAAGAUGACAGACUAUCUGACUGGAACUUAGGUGGUUGUGUAACAGAGUCAAAAGGUACGAGAUAGAUCAUGAUCAAGGAUUGAAGGAUAUGUAUAUCCUCAUAAGACGAACGAAACCAACGAUUUGGUUUUAUGGUACCAACCCACUGCAGGCAGACAGGACCCAAUGCAAUCGUAUGAUCAUGUUGUGUCGAUCAGUAUUGUUCCAAUCAAGUAGCAUAUGACGCGAACUAUAUUUACGAAUCGAAGAUUGUUGUUCAUUAAACCCUUAUUUAAGAAGGUAGUCAAAUUAUACUAAAGACAACUAUCUAAACAGAUCAUGACAACUUUAACACUAGUUGUAUCAUAUGACAACCCAAGAAUGGGUAUUGUACUCCUAUAGACAAAAAGUUUACACCUUCGGUAGUAUUGUAGUAGACCAGUAUCAAUGUGCGUAACAAAUUUAAAAAGAAGAAACUUAAAGUGUAACAUCAAGAAACAACAUUCUAUUACGUGUACAUAGUUAUGGCUUAUACCUUUCGAAAUCAUUUUCUACAUUUGCACGAGUAGUAUACGAUAGACUAAGGCUCAGCUAAAUCUAAUUAAUACUAAAACAAUAAGACGAAAUACUAAAUGAGUUGGUGAUAACAAAGUACAACUAAUACGUCAUUACGAGGAGAAGAAGGAGCUGGUGGACUUGGUGGUGCGGCCGCCCCGAGGACUUCGUAGUUGAAGUUAUUACCACAACACACAAGACCUUCUACCUUCUCCUUCUUUUGGAUAAAAACAACUUGAUUUAAAAAACAUAAGACAAAACAACAUGCAUAGUAAACUAUCAAAACAUAUCCUUGUUCACUAUGAUAAAACAUCCCGAAAUACCGGACACUACAUUUGUAUAAAUCACGACUUUAUACUUUAAACGUUUUAAACAGCUUUUCCACCUAGUAUACAUACUUAUACACUUACCCGACUUUUCACAUGACCUGGUUGAGGUCCUAACUUAAUUAUAAACUUACAUAUUUUUC